UGGGGGAUAUUGCACAAUGGGGGAAACCCUGAUGCAGCAACGCCGCGUGAGUGAAGAAGGUUUUCGGAUUGUAAAGCUCUGUUAGCAGGGAAGAGAAAGGACGGUACCUGCAGAGGAAGCCACGGCUAACUACGUGCCAGCAGCCGCGGUAAUACGUAGGUGGCAAGCGUUGUUCGGAAUAACUGGGCGUAAAGGAUGCGUAGGCGGUUGAAUAAGUUAUGUGUUAAAUAUAUGGGCUUAACCCGUAGAAGGCAUAUAAAACUGUUUAACUAGAGUGCAGGAGAGGUAAGUGGAAUUCCUAGUGUAGCGGUGAAAUGCGUAGAGAUUAGGAAGAACACCAGUGGCGAAGGCGACUUACUGGACUGUAACUGACGCUGAGGCAUGAGAGCAUGGGGAGCAAACA
Molecule: ribosomal RNA, 403 nt
Filed under: uncultured bacterium
Lineage: Bacteria
Description: bacterial SSU rRNA
Rfam family: Bacterial small subunit ribosomal RNA
Source: RNAcentral